Molecule: ribosomal RNA, 690 nt
Filed under: uncultured soil bacterium
Lineage: Bacteria
Description: bacterial SSU rRNA
Rfam family: Bacterial small subunit ribosomal RNA
Source: RNAcentral
GCUGGCGGCAGGCCUAACACAUGCAAGUCGAGCGGCCGUAGCAAUACGGCAGCGGCAGACGGGAGAGUAACACGUGGGAACGUGCCUAUCAGUUCGGAACAACCCAGGGAAACUUGGGCUAAAACCGGAUACGCCCUUACGGGGAAAGAUUUAUCGCUGAUAGAGCGGCCCGCGUCUGAUUAGCUAGUUGGUGAGGUAACGGCUCACCAAGGCGACGAUCAGUAGCUGGUCUGAGAGGAUGAUCAGCCUCAUUGGGACUGAGACACGGCCCAAACUCCUACGGGAGGCAGCAGUGGGGAAUAUUGGACAAUGGGCGCAAGCCUGAUCCAGCCAUGCCGCGUGGGUGAUGAAGGCCCUAGGGUUGUAAAGCCCUUUCGGCGGGGAAGAUAAUGACGGUACCCGCAGAAGAAGCCCCGGCUAACUUCGUGCCAGCAGCCGCGGUAAUACGAAGGGGGCUAGCGUCGCUCGGAAUCACUGGGCGUAAAGCGCACGUAGGCGGCUUUUUAAGUCAGGGGUGAAAUCCUGGAGCUCAACUCCAGAACUGCCUUUGAUACUGAGAAGCUCGAGUCCGGGAGAGGUGAGUGGAACUGCGAGUGUAGAGGUGAAAUUCGUAGAUAUUCGCAAGAACACCAGUGGCGAAGGCGGCUCACUGGCCCGGUACUGACGCUGAGGUGCGAAAGCGUGGGGAGC